AUGUGGUGUUUGAUGUGGUGUUGGACCUGGUGGUGAAUGUGGUGUUGGAUGUGGUGGUAUAUGUGGUCUUGGAUGUGGUGGUGUAUGAGGUGUUGGAUGUGGUGGUAUAUGCGGUGUUGGACCUGGUGGUGUAUGAGGUGUUGGAUUUGGUCGUGGACCUGGUGGUGUAUGUGGUGUAUGUGGUGUUGCACGUAGUGGUGUAUGAGGUGUUGGAUGUGGUGUUGGAUGUGGUGGUGGAUGUGGUGGUGGACCUGGUGUUGGAUGUGGUGGUGAACUUGGUGGUGGGCAUGGUGGUGGACGUGGUGUUGUAAAUGCUGGUGUAUGUGCUGUUGGAUGUGGUGGUGAAUGAGGUGUUGGACCUGGUGGUGUAUGUGGUGUUGGACCUGAUGGUGUAUGUGGUGUUGGACGCGGUAGUAUAUUUUGUGUUGGACCUGGUGGUGUAUGUGGUGUUGGACCUGGUGGUGUAUGAGAUGUUGGAUGUGGUGUUGGACCUGGUGGUGUAUGUGGUGUUGGAUGUGGUCGUGGACCUGGUGGUGUAUGAGGUGUUGGAUGUGGUCGUGGACCUGGUGGUGUAUGUGGUGUUGGACGUAGAGGUGUAAGAGGUGUUUGAUGUGGUGGUGGAUGUGGUGGUGGACCUGAUGUUGGAUGUGGUGUUGAACAUUGUGGUGGGCGUGGUGGUGCACGCGGUGUUGGACCUGGUGUUGAACAUUGUGGUGGGCGUGGUGGUGCACGUGGUGUUGGACCUGGUGUUGUAUGAGGUGAUGGAUGUGGUGUUGGACCUGGUGGGGUAUUUAGUGUUGAAUGUGGUAGUGUAUGUGCUGUUGACCUGGGGUUGGAUGUGGUGUUUGACCUGGUGGUGUAUGUCGUGUUGGAUGUGGUGGUGUAUGUGGUGUGGGAGGUGAUGUUGUAUGUGGUGUUUGGGACCUGGUGUUCUAUGUGGUGAUGUAUGGGGAGUUGGAUGUGGUGUUGGAUGUGGUGUUGGCCCUGGUGGUCUAUCGGUUACUGGAUGUGG
Ictalurus punctatus (channel catfish) is the source of this 1012-nucleotide long non-coding RNA. Lineage: Eukaryota; Metazoa; Chordata; Actinopteri; Siluriformes; Ictaluridae. The record is from Ensembl.